Molecule: unclassified non-coding RNA, 1572 nt
Filed under: Haliotis rufescens (red abalone)
Lineage: Eukaryota; Metazoa; Mollusca; Gastropoda; Lepetellida; Haliotidae
Description: uncharacterized protein YMR317W-like, transcript variant X26
Source: RNAcentral
GCACAUGAUCGAUUGUGUACCUAUCUAUCAUACUGAAUACAAAUAAAUACGAAGGCCGUAUUGUGUAAGUUGACAGACGGGUGUUUUAUGAGGUAGCUUGCACAAUGCAUGACGGUCCACGGGGCGCAUUUACGCCAUUACUAUCACUUCAACGCUUUUCUAUCUGGUACUUUUUGUUGAAAAUGAUGGUUAAACAAAACCAAGUACAUGUAUUACUGGUUCUGACUGUGACUUUCAUCCAUGGUGUAUCCCCUACACAAGCCCCGAGUCCAGGUGGAGUGGCAACCUUGAAGACAGAAUACACCAUAACUGGUGCCAGAAGCAACUAUACCGGCUUUAUAUGGGUACGACCAACUGACGGUCGGUAUGUCGUCACCUGCAACCCCAGCUGCAGCCCCGUGGCUGGAUACAGUGCAACUAUGAACGCCACACACUCUACACUCACUAUACACAGUGUCGGAGUGAAUGAUGCUGGAACAUGGAGGAUACAAGAUGCAAUAAAUGAUACAAGUGCGCCGCAAGGCGUGUGGGAAGUGAUGGUCUCCAAAACUCCAGAAUGUAACAUCAGCAGUGAUGUGGACACAGACGCCCUUGAGCUCGGCACAAACCUGACAGUCACAGUGUACAUCAACGACUACUACUGUUCCCAGGAAACUGGCUUUAACCUUACCACUGGUGCUGUCAUGGAGACGUUGUCGACAAAACACAACGUCAGUGAUGUCCAACCUGACGUCAUUAACAAAACUAUCAAUAUUGUCCUUUCACGUUUUGGUGACGUCACGGUGUCGUUUGCAUGUGACAUCAUGAGCAGUGAUCUGAGCUGUAGUGGAGUUAAGAGGUUGUUAAAAAGUCCCCCACAGUGCAACAUCAGCAGUGAUACAGACACUGAUGUACUGGAGCCAGGUACAAAUCUCACCCUGACAGUAGACAUCAGAGGCUACUACUGUUCUCAACAAGCUGGGUUUGAUCUAACUACAGGCAGCGUCACAGACGUCUUGUUGCAGAACCAGACCACGCACAACAUCACCGACACUGUCCAGCACCACUUCUUCAACGUCUCAUCUGAUCGUUUUGGAAAUGUCAGUGUUAUGUUUAGAUGUGACAACAGCAAUAGAUCAAUUACGUGCGAUGGAGUUUCCAAGUUGAGCGCUGCUUCUUCACCAACAACAGCCCCCACAUCGACAGCUGCUCCUUCACCAACAACAUCCCCUACGUCGACAGCUGCUCCUUCACCAACAACAUCCCCCACAUCGACAGCUGCUCCUUCACCAACAACAUCCCCUACGUCGACAGCUGCUCCUUCACCAACAACAUCCCCCACAUCGACAGCUGCUCCUUCACCAACAACAUCCCCUACGUCGACAGACCAGCAUGUAGCGUGAAUAUUGCUGAUUUCGGCGUUAAACAACGUACACACAAACGAAACUGUCGUCAAACCAUUCCAUCAGGUACGUAACUACCAUCCUCACCCGUUCCUGUGUCGAUUCCAGGCUAGAAUAGGUCCUCCACAACCCAAGAGUCGGUGACUUGGUGGAUUUCAUGUUCUGUUUUUACUUGUGUAGAUCGAUGGUC